RNAcentral lists this ribosomal RNA (254 nucleotides) under uncultured bacterium. Its description in RNAcentral is "partial 16S ribosomal RNA". It matches the Rfam family "Bacterial small subunit ribosomal RNA", at positions 524 to 776 of the family's 1533-position model. The record is from RNAcentral.
UACGGGGGGGGCAAGCGUUGUUCGGAAUUACUGGGCGUAAAGGGCGCGUAGGCGGCCUUCUAAGUCAGACGUGAAAUCCCUCGGCUCAACCGAGGAACUGCGUCUGAUACUGGAAGGCUUGAAUCCGGGAGAGGGAUGUGGAAUUCCAGGUGUAGCGGUGAAAUGCGUAGAUAUCUGGAGGAACACCGGUGGCGAAGGCGACAUCCUGGACCGGUAUUGACGCUGAGUGAGCGAAAGCCAGGGGAGCAAACGGG